RNAcentral lists this transfer RNA (54 nucleotides) under Clostridium cylindrosporum DSM 605. It matches the Rfam family "tRNA", at positions 1 to 52 of the family's 71-position model. Rfam says of the family: Transfer RNA (tRNA) molecules are approximately 80 nucleotides in length. Their secondary structure includes four short double-helical elements and three loops (D, anti-codon, and T loops). Lineage: Bacteria; Bacillati; Bacillota; Clostridia; Eubacteriales; Clostridiaceae. The record is from Rfam by way of RNAcentral.
GGAAGCAUAGCUCAGCUGGGAGAGCACCUGCCUUACAAGCAGGGGGUCACAGGU